UUCCGGUUGAUCCCGCCGGACCUGACUGCUAUUGGAGUAGGACUAAGUCGCGCUAGUCAAAGGUGCGGAAAGGAGCACCUGGCAUACGGCUCAGUAACACGUAGUGAACCUGCCCUAGGGACGGGGAUAACCACGGGAAACUGUGGAUAAUACCCGAUAGGAAAUUCGGCCUGGGACGGUGUCUUUCCUAAAACUGGCUCGCCGUGAGACACAGGCCCUAGGAUGGCGCUGCGGCCGAUUAUGCUUGAUGGUGGUGUAAAGGACCACCAUGGCGACGAUCGGUAUGGGCAAUGGAAGUUGGAGCCCAGAGUCGGCUACUGAGACAAGGAGCCGAGCCUUACGAGGCUUAGCGGUCGCGAAAACUCGCCAAUGCACGAAUGUGUGAGUGGGCUACUCCAAGUGCCAUUCUUACGGAUGGCUGUCGCCCAGUGUUCACAGCUGGGAAAGGAAGGAGAGGGCAAGGCUGGUGCCAGCCGCCGCGGUAAAACCAGCUCUUCGAGUGGUCAGGACGAAUAUUGGGCCUAAAGCGCUCGUAGCCGGACAAGUAGGUUCUUGGUUAAACCCGUGGGCAUAACUCACGGAACGCUGAGAAUACCGCUAGUCUAGAGAGCGGAAGAGGGCAGCGGUAGUCAUAGGGUAGGGGUGAAAUCCUGUGAUUCUAUGGCGACCACCGAUGGCGAAGGCAGCUGCCUGGGACGUAUCUGACGGUGAGGAGCGAAGGCUAGGGGAGCGAUCCGGAUUAGAUACCCGGGUAGUCCUAGCAGUAAACGAUGGCUGCUAGGUGUUGCGGCGGCCAAGAGCCACCGCAGUGCCACAGCGAAGGCGUUGAGCAGCCCGCCUGGGGAUUACGUGAGCAAUCAUGAAACUUAAAGAAAUUGACGGGGGUCCACCACCAGGAGUGAAGCCUGCGGUUUAAUUGGAUUCAACGCCGG
This 932-nucleotide ribosomal RNA is filed under the name uncultured archaeon. RNAcentral describes it as "partial 16S ribosomal RNA". It matches the Rfam family "Archaeal small subunit ribosomal RNA", at positions 1 to 921 of the family's 1478-position model. The record is from RNAcentral.